GUUGGUAUUAAAUAAAUGCUUAGUGUUGAGUCGGCUGUCUCACCAGCUGAGAAAUAACCUUGUCUGUCUCUUUGACAUCUUCCCUUAAAGCUACUUGGAUGCAUAGUAUAAGAAAUAGCCUGAGUUCCUGGGGAUGUUUACACUAUCAGAAUGCUAGGGAACAGGGUUGACAAGAGUGACAGCGUUGAGUGAAAAGAAAGUUUAUUUAUAUGUUUGUGUGUGUGUAUAUACACACACACUAUACAUACUAAACUCGUAUAUACACAUAUGAAACACGUCUCGACUGGGAGCAAGGGAACUGCAAGAUAACAGGUUAAAAUGCUCUCAGAAACGUAAACAGAACUUGAAAUAUUAUUUUAUUUUUCCUACUGGAUAACUGAACAGUAAGCAUGAGGGCAAAGGAAAUGCAAGGAGGGAAGAGAAAGGAUUCCAAGGUAGAAGGAGAAAAAGGCAGAGAGACACAAGAGAUAUAACAUGGUUAUAAUGAGAUGGGAGAGGGGAGGGAAAGAUGGAAAAAGGGGAGAGAGAGAGAGAGAGAGAGAGAGAGAGAGAGAGAGAGAGAGAGAGGAGGGAUGGGGUGGGCGAAUUGGAGAGAGUUGGACGGAGUAUUCCACAUCUUUAAGGGAAAUUCUCUAGAUGGGAAGAGACGCACAAAUUUUGCAUGACAAGUAGAGACUGGCUCUCCUGGGAGUUCCCUGUUUGGAGAGCGGGCAAGCAAGAGAUCUCCCUGCUGCCUGGGAGAGGCUGCAGCUUUGGGCCCUAAAGCCCUGCCCCCUCAGUUCCUUCUUCCCUCCCCCUCCCGUCUACUCUGUACACAGUGCAUUUCCCUCUCUUUUUCUCAUUCUCUAGACUGGUUUUUCUGGUUCAGCCUCUCACCCUGGGACGCGCUGGGGGAUCCGAUGACGUCGCUGGCCGAGCUUUCCUCUCUCUCUCUCUCUCUCUCUCUCUCGGCCGCGCUCCCUUUCUCCCUCUCUUACUUCUCCUUGUAACUUCUGUUCUGGGAAGUGGUGCCAGGAAUAACCCUGUCUGACUACAGAUCAGAAAGGCUGCUGCUUCCUCAUCCAGAAAACUGCGGCUCUGGCCUCUCUUCUCCCUCUCAAGCCCAGCUUCACCUUAUGUCUGUCGCACUGUGUACAGUAUAAGAAAAUAAAUAAAGGAAAGAGGAGCCUUGACUGUCGGGAUCUCUUCCCUCCCUCCCUCUGUCCUUAAGGAAAUGCUACCAGACACCCCCCAACCCGCACAAGCUUAGCAAGGAGCAACCUCAGCAGCAGAAACAACAAGGGCACCAGGGGGUUUUUCCUCCUCCUCUUCCUCCUCCUCCUUCUCUUCCUCCUCCACGGUGACUUUCAGGUUGGAGAUUCUGCCUGACUCACCAGAGUGAAGGAUGAGGAGAAUUUGUGACUGGCUAGGAGGCUGCUACCUGCAGAAAACAGAUCUCCAGGUGGAGACUUUGGAAUUUUAAAGAAGACAGUCAAUAAUCAUACUCACCUGAAUGAUGAAACAAAUUGCCAUGGCUGGAACCAAUGAUUACUAAAUCUUUACUAUCAGCAGUCAGUGGAACCAUCACAUUUGAACUCUAACAUCUCAGUCCCUGAUGUACUAUAUGAGGAAAUGGAAAUGGCACCAAAAAGAUGAAGAUGGAGAAAAACAGCUGGACCCGACCAAGUACACACAGAGGAAUUCCUUGAUGGAGGCAACACAGUUUUAAAGGCAUUAAGGGACUUAUUUCCAAGCAACAAGACAAUCAUGUAUAUUACAACUCUAAAAUAUGCAGGUCAUUGCAUCUUAGUGAGAAUAGCAACUGAAACUUCACUCUAGCUGAUCCACAAGAAUUCUGCUGAACUAAAUUUUCAUCCCAAUAUUUCAUCAUAGCAGAAAAUACUCCAGCUCCCUAAGAACACUGCAGAUUCAUACAGCUUUGUGAUGGAAUUACUUUUAAUGAACAGGACUGUCUUAUUGUGUGAUCCCAGAGACAUUGCCAUCUAAUGCCUAUAGAUUACUGUGUAGAAGGCUCCAAGGAGAAAGAGACACCAGUAAAUUUUCAGAGUCCCUGGAAAAAUGGAAGCAACAAAGAUUUAAAAAGCAC
Molecule: long non-coding RNA, 2086 nt
Organism: Sarcophilus harrisii (Tasmanian devil)
Lineage: Eukaryota; Metazoa; Chordata; Mammalia; Dasyuromorphia; Dasyuridae
Source: Ensembl